Molecule: long non-coding RNA, 280 nt
Filed under: Zonotrichia albicollis (white-throated sparrow)
Lineage: Eukaryota; Metazoa; Chordata; Aves; Passeriformes; Passerellidae
Description: lncRNA (ENSZALG00000010149.1)
Source: RNAcentral
GUAAGACAUGGCUUGAACAUCCAAAGUCAUUGCACAAAGAUGUCUAUUUAUAACCUGCCGAGUGACAAAACUACUAGUCAAGAGAAUUUGCAGCCAGAAGACUUUUCUUCCUCAAGAGCCUUCUAAGAAAUUACAGUGUUCUUGAAGCCAGCUUCCUCUUCAGCCACUGGGCAUUCCCUUGAUUCACCUGAGGCCUCUUCCAGCCUCCUGAAGCUCCCAUAAAUUAUUACACUCUCAUGCUGAUCAUAAUAUAGAAGCCUGCAUCUCUAGUUGUUAACCA